RNAcentral lists this long non-coding RNA (211 nucleotides) under Hordeum vulgare. Its description in RNAcentral is "long non-coding RNA (HVUL_LNC015446)". Lineage: Eukaryota; Viridiplantae; Streptophyta; Magnoliopsida; Poales; Poaceae. The record is from RNAcentral.
GCCUAUGAGCUUUUACGAAAGCCCGGGCUUUUCUCUCAUCCAGUGAGUGAAAUCUUUUGAAUUCAAAAGCCUAUUGAAACUUUCCUUGCUUUAAGGCCUAUGACCACCUAUUAGGUUUACUUUACUAGGUCUCCUUCAUUCCUUUAUUCAAUUCACUAUGUAACCUUUAUACAAUUCACUAUGUAACAAAGUUGAUAAGCCUACUCAAUCC